CAGUGUUGGAGCAUGCGCAGAAGGUCCAAGUCGAACAAAUCUCGUCUUGUCCUUUUAGUAUGGCGGAGUUCGACGUGCGUGUCGUGUCUUUCGUUACAUAACUUAUUACUUAUGAGAGAAUAAGACUGGAAUAUAAGAAAAGGAGGAACGAAAAGAAAUAGAAAAAAAUACGUAACUCGAGGAAUAGUAUAAAUUUGAGAAAUCUAUAUAAAUAAGUUAAAAUCGUGGAAGAAAAUAAAGAAAAUAAAAGAAGCGACAAGACGGUGAACAACGAUUCAUCUUUGUUGUUAGAAAUUGGUAAUACAAAGACAGUGCCUAUCGCGGAUCAAGAAUUAUGCCGGAGAUUGGAGACGUACAUCGCUAGUAGUACCGGCGAGGAUGCCGUUGCAAUUGAAGUUGAAGAAGCGGUAACGAACAUUGAACAUCAACAGAACGUUGACGCUAACAUGUCGAAGAUUCAAGCGAAUAAUACAACAGGGACUAAUCGUAUCCUGCCAACGCUUAGUCGUUUCAAGUAUGAAUAUUUUGUCGCCGGUAUAUCCGGUGGCGUUGUUUCGACAUUGACCCUUCAUCCGUUAGAUCUAAUCAAAAUUAGAUUGGCAGUUAACGAUGGACGUGCAUCAGUACCACAAUACAACGGUAUAGUAGAUGCCUUCAGGCAAAUUGUGAAAAGCGAAGGAAUACGUGGAUUCUAUAGAGGAGUUACACCAAACGUCUUGGGAUCAGGCUGCUCUUGGGGAUUGUAUUUCUUUUUUUACAAUAACAUAAAGACAUGGAUUCAAGGAGGAAAUUCGAAAAAACCAUUAGGUCCAUCUAUGCAUAUGCUGGCAGCUGCGGAUGCAGGAUUACUCACCUUAUUGAUGACUAAUCCAAUAUGGGUAGUGAAAACACGGUUGUGUUUACAAUACGUUGAGGAUAAAAAUCUUGCUGAAUGUAAAAAAUAUAAAGGAGUGACCGAUGCUCUUAAAAAGAUUUAUAGAACCGAAGGCAUCAGGGGCUUAUACAAGGGUUUAGUUCCUGGAAUGUUUGGUGUAUCGCAUGGAGCCAUUCAGUUUAUGACGUAUGAAGAAAUGAAAAAUCAAUACAACGUGUACCAGAAUUUACCUAUAGAUACAAAGCUGAAUAUGUUCGAGUACAUCCUUUUCGCAGCUGUUUCUAAAGUGAUUGCCGCCGGUGUGACAUAUCCUUACCAAGUACUAAGGGCACGCUUGCAAGAUCAUCAUCUUGACUACAGAGGAACAUGGCACUGCAUUCAGGUGACAUGGAGGUAUGAAGGUUGGCGUGGAUUUUACAAGGGUCUUAGUGUCAACCUUACCAGAGUGACCCCAGCAACGGUGAUAACUUUUGUGGUCUACGAGAAUAUUGUCCACUUCCUCAAGUUCAACUCAUAGACUGCGUACACAUAAUGGGUGUCCAACGGAUAAAAGAAAUAAUUUCGACAAUGGCGACUGUUGGUUGAUAUCCAGGACCUUCAGCCCCGCCCAUGUGAUUUAAACUGCGACCUUUUCAGCGACGACCCGACGACCCUGUCGCACA
RNAcentral lists this unclassified non-coding RNA (1536 nucleotides) under Polistes fuscatus (common paper wasp). Its description in RNAcentral is "mitochondrial folate transporter/carrier, transcript variant X2". Lineage: Eukaryota; Metazoa; Arthropoda; Insecta; Hymenoptera; Vespidae. The record is from RNAcentral.